AUGGAUGAAUCACGAAAAAGAGCUGCCUCUAAUGCGAAUGCUAAAAAUUCAAGUUCAUCCCUUGAUGAAGACUUUGGCAAUGAUUUCCUUUCAUCUUGGAAGUUACCAAAAUCAGGAAAAGAUACAAUUGACUUUGACGUCGAGUCAGCUCCAAAGAGUAGCAAGAAGUUUAGCUUUGAGAAUCUUGAUGAUUUUGGACUUGAUGGAGCCUUUGACAAAUUGUCAUCAUUUAAAAUGGGCAUGUCUGAUUUAGAUUUCUCUAGUCCUCUGAAGAAAAAAGCGAAGAACAACAGUUCAAACGGCGAUGAGCUUUCUGAAGGGAGAAAAGUAACUGAAAAAGACAACUUCUCCUUUUCCUUUGAUUUUAAUGAGCUGGGCAACUUCAAUCUUGACACAAAGUUGGGCUUUGAGGAAAAUGUUAUGAGCAGACCUAAAGAAAAAACUGACCCUAUCUCUUCAGUGGGUAACAAGGAUCCAGAAAGUGGUAUUUCAGGGAAGAGCACUGAUGUUCCUGAAGAUAGUAAGAGUAAGGAACAAAUACAAACACAGAAUGCUUGCACUUUGAAGCCUGCUCAUUUGACAAGCAUCAAUCCUUCAAGUGUGGACCAACUUGAAGUAGAUAUGGUGUCAAAUGAUGUGCUUGAAGAGCACUCUAAUGAGACAUAUCCAACAAAACCAGUUGUCAACAAUUCUUCUCAUAGUUUUCCUUCCACUGCUGUAUCUGGUGAAGAUCCAACACAUUCGAAAGCAGUAGCAGUUCCUGAGAGCAGCAAGGAAGCUCCUCCAGUGGACCCUAGUAAAGUUAAUAUAACAUCAAGGGAGAAUAAUAGCAGUGAGCAAUCAGUUAGUUCACAAUCCAGAAACAACAGCACUGAGAAUGUGCCCAUCUCAAGAAGAUCAGGGGGCCAAUCAGAUUCUCAAAAUAACCAGAAUGAGCCUGUGGAGGAAGGUACAUCUCUUAAUGAAGGAAGUCAUGGUAACCAAUGUUAUAGAGGCACUUCAAUGAAGCCUCUAAGGAAGACAUCAUGCGGGACAAAGAAUGUUGAGAAAGGGACUUCAGGUCCAAAGAAUCUGUCUUCAACAAUGCAGAGGGAAAUCAGAAAUGUUAAACCUACACUAGUGAAUGAAGCAGGAACUUUUUCUCUUCUGUCCAAGUCUGCAAAUACGAAAGCAAGCAGGCCUCCCCAAAUAACUUCAGAGACUACCUUAAAUCAACUAAGUGGUGCCAAUAACAUGAUCAAAAAGACAAAUACACAUCCUACAGACCUGAACAGGGAACACAAGCAUGCAGAGCCUGAUAAACAUAAAAUCACGCCGGCAAAAACAUACUGCAAGCCAGGAUUACAGGGGCUGUCAACCACCUCCAUGAAUGCCAAACAUGGACUUGAGCCACUUAGUGCAGGCAACUCAUCCAUUAAGAAUGCUCCAAGCAGUACAGCACAUACCACUGGAAAUAAUUCACUAACAAGUCAGAUGCUCCUAAAAGGCAGCAACACCUCUGAUAUGAUACAAGGCACUCCUUCCAAAGAUGAUAAAAGACCAACAACUUUCCAACUGGCCGGAUCAAGAGUUUCAAAAGUAGGCACCAGAAGUCCAAAGUCUGGCUUGAUUCUGGAUAAAGAUUCAGUAAAAUUGAGUGGGAGCAAGGGUUCCCCUGUAAGGACACACAAGAUCCCAAACUCCUUCGUUGAAGGAAAAGCUGCAUUGCUUAGUCCGUCCAUUAGGCAAAAGAUGCCCGAGGAAUCAAUCCCAGAUCCAAAAGCCCCUGCUGUGCUGAAACGCGUCGUGAGAUCUCCAGCUGUGAGAAUAUCACCGCAAACUGUUCCAGAGUUGGGGAAUCAAACAAUUCAAAGUGGAACUCCGAAAGCUCGUAUGGAUAAUGCAGUUUCUUCCACAAUACGGGAGAUGGGUGACAUUUCAGAUCUAGAGUUGCCUGCCCUGUUAGAAGAUGAUGGAAAUGUAGAGAAAGCUGAGGCUUGUAGAAAACAGCUUGAAGAUAUGUGCAUUUUGAUGAAAAAGAAACACACGGAAGCUAAAGAACUAGCAGUUCGGGCUAUUGUUAACAACAAUAUGCUGUUGAUGCUAAACCACCCAAUGUUUGAGGAGAAAAUAUCCUUUCCUACUUCUAACCAAUUCACAUGUUACUACUGUAUAUUCACAUACAUGGAUGUUAAACUUGGGAUUCCUUCACCAGAAGAACCUUUCUGCUCUUCAGAAAUACGCCGACAGCAUGAGAUCCAAGCACUUACUUGA
Molecule: ribosomal RNA, 2253 nt
Filed under: Triticum aestivum (bread wheat)
Lineage: Eukaryota; Viridiplantae; Streptophyta; Magnoliopsida; Poales; Poaceae
Description: partial small subunit ribosomal RNA
Source: RNAcentral